AGUUUAGCCAAGCGAAAAUGAGGAGGAGAGGCUUUGUCCCAGACAUUUUAGCCUGAGUCUCAAUGCCUCUUAUUGGCUCCAACAGAUCACAUGCCCAGCUCUGAGCCAAUCAACGUGGCCACAUCCAGGUCAGUUAUUACUGCCCCCGCCCCCUGCCGAGGAGACCGGCUGGAAACCCGGGGGCUGUUGGGUCUUUCCCCGGGAGAUGGGGAGAGAGGAUGCGGGGCAGCUGGCACCACGGCAAGCCGGCCCCUGUUCAGUUGCAUGAAAUCAAGACCCAGACACUGCAGAACUGAAGUGGGGAAGGACUGACCACCAGUUGGCAAGAGGCUGAAGAGGGUAAGAGUUAUAUAGCUCAGUAACAUCAGUAUUUUGGAAGUAGGAUAGGAAGAAAGUCUCAUCACAAGGGAGCCCCAUGGAGAGGAAUGAGCACAGAAUUUGGAGUCAGAAGAGUGGAAGGCCUGGGCUUGGGGCCUGGCUGCACCGUGCCAGCUGGAUGGUUCUGGGAAAGCUGCCCAACUCUCUGCUUCGCAAUCCCCACAUCUGUCACUAGGGAUCACAUCUGCCUCACCGGAUCAGCUGAGAUAAGGCACGUGUGUAAAAGGCUGUACAAAUGUUAGUUACUAUAAGAUUGUCUCAAAAAAAUAAAACCCACAGCAAAGAGUAUCCCAAGG
RNAcentral lists this long non-coding RNA (674 nucleotides) under Rhinopithecus bieti (black snub-nosed monkey). RNAcentral describes it as "lncRNA (ENSRBIG00000045994.1)". Lineage: Eukaryota; Metazoa; Chordata; Mammalia; Primates; Cercopithecidae. The record is from RNAcentral.